This 397-nucleotide ribosomal RNA is filed under the name uncultured bacterium. Its description in RNAcentral is "bacterial SSU rRNA". It matches the Rfam family "Bacterial small subunit ribosomal RNA", at positions 28 to 428 of the family's 1533-position model. The record is from RNAcentral.
GACGAACGCUGGCGGCGUGCUUAACACAUGCAAGUCGAGCGGUAAGGCCCUUUCGGGGGUACACGAGCGGCGAACGGGUGAGUAACACGUGGGUGACCUGCCCUUAGCUCUGGGAUAAGCCUGGGGAAACUGGGCCUAAUACCGGAUAUGACUCCAUGACGCAUGUUGUGGGGUGGAAAGCCUUGUGCGGCUAGGGAUGGGCCCGCGGCCUAUCAGCUUGUUGGUGGGGUGAUGGCCACCAAGGCGACGACGGGUAGCCGGCCUGAGAGGGCGACCGGCCACACUGGGACUGAGACACGGCCCAGACUCCUACGGGAGGCAGCAGUGGGGAAUCUUGCGCAAUGGGCGAAAGCCUGACGCAGCGACGCCGCGUGAGGGAUGACGGCCUCGGUUGUAA